GGAGUUGUAGGGCAGUGGUAGCUCAGUGGUCUACUGAUUGGAAGGUCAUGAGUUCAAUCCCCAGCACCACCA
Non-coding RNA from Pangasianodon gigas (Mekong giant catfish), 72 nucleotides. NCBI's taxonomy places the organism in Eukaryota, Metazoa, Chordata, Actinopteri, Siluriformes, Pangasiidae. The record is from the annotation of a GenBank genome assembly.